Molecule: ribosomal RNA, 180 nt
Filed under: Triticum aestivum (bread wheat)
Lineage: Eukaryota; Viridiplantae; Streptophyta; Magnoliopsida; Poales; Poaceae
Description: partial small subunit ribosomal RNA
Source: RNAcentral
AAGGCCCGUGCCUCCUUGAUGAUGCUCAUCUCCUGGGGGGUUUGGUCCGAGAGAAACGCUAAAGUCUUCCGCAACGUGGCGGUUCCUUCGAUGGUCAUCAUUAACAAAAUCAAACAAGAGGUGUCGCUCUAGGCUCUGGCGGGUGCCAAGCACUUGGGUGUUGUAAUGCCGCGAGAGUAG